Amphiprion ocellaris (clown anemonefish) is the source of this 1046-nucleotide long non-coding RNA. Lineage: Eukaryota; Metazoa; Chordata; Actinopteri; Pomacentridae. The record is from Ensembl.
UGUCAAUGACGUUGAUUAGCUGCGUAAAUACCAUUAUAUACAGUCUAUGGUAAAUACGUAUGUGAAUCGCAUCAUUGGCUGCAGCAGCCAGUCACCGGUCACUCACUGACUCACACUGAAAAAUAGCACAGAAUUUUAUUUACAAUUUAGGUUGGAUUUUUUGUGUGUGUGCGCAGCGCAGAUUUUCUGUGCACGGAGAGCUUGUCAGCAGUGCGCACGCGCGCAGCUUAGAGGGAACAGUGCUCCAGCUCAUCAGCUCUUCCUGCCCUGAGAAGAUCCGACCACCUCCAGCCUGUACAGACCUGCAGACAGAGACAGCCAGCUGUGAGCCAGACUGUGAGGAGAUGUUCUGAUGAGGCUCUGAAGGACUGUGAGGUUCUCUGAUGGUCAGGAUUAGAACAUUAACAGCUCCGUCAACAUUUGUGUGGAAACAUCGAACCCACUAGGACUGUACAAUGUUCCUCCGGCAAUAAACCUUGGAUCUCUCUGGACAUAAAGACUCUUCUUGAGGAGAAGAGGCCUUUGGAUCAGGAAGCAAAUAGAAGCUGGAGGUUGUUCAGGGAGAGAGGAGGUGGAGAGUCAGGGAGGAAGAAGAGGAUCAAGACUCUGACAGGAGGAGCAGCAGAACAUCAGCAGGGUCUGGAGAGAAAAUAAACAUCUCUGGCCACGAGAAACCCACAAAGAGACAACAAAGAUCGGGGAGUUGAACCUUUUCUUCAACAGCAUCACAGAGGAGGAAAGUCACGUGAUUCAUCCGUCUAUAAACCUGAAGCCUCCGACAGUCUGAGACACAAUCAGACAGAAACUCUGAAGCCUCCGUCUGGUCCUGAAGCCUCCGUCUGGUUCUGCCAAUCUGGUCCAUCUGUUUUUUAGUACAAUACCAAACAAAGCUGUGAAUUACGGAUAUCUUGGACUUUUUAAAAUUCUGCAAUAUCUAUUGUACUUACAGACAAGUCUGUCCAAUAUUAAUACUUCGUGUCCUAUACUGUAAUGAAUAUAUCAGAUAAAUCUAAACCAGUACUUCUCCAUAUUUUUGGUGUAUUUUU